Molecule: long non-coding RNA, 654 nt
Organism: Daphnia pulex (common water flea)
Lineage: Eukaryota; Metazoa; Arthropoda; Branchiopoda; Diplostraca; Daphniidae
Exons: 2
Source: RefSeq, a predicted model, not a curated record
GGAUCCGGAUGAAACGUUUGGGCUGCGACUGCUGAGUCCGCUGUUCCGUCUGCCGGACGGAAGUCUGUUGGGUCACCAAACAAAAUCGCUGGGGUCCAAAGGGCAAAGGUGACACGGGCGGUGGCUGUCGGUGUGGCGUUGACGGCGUCAAAUAUCAUCUCUUCUGCAAUUAAUGCCAUUAAUUAAAACUCAAAUUUGAUUACCGUAGAAUAAAAUUAUUUCGCCAAGUCGUGUGCAAUUGAAAUUUAUUGACAUUUGAAAUGCGUGUAUUUAAUCAAUGUUUGGCAUGUUUUAAAAAGGAUAACAGAGGCAAAGUAAAUGCAAUGCUCAGCAAUGAAUAUUUACAAAAGAUACAUAUUAUACAUAUUCAAUUUCUAAUGUUAGAUUCAGAGGGAGGUUUAAUUGGCUUUUCUUUUUUUUUCGAAUAGUUUGAUGUUUCACCUUGUAUAUGAAACAUGCAUCCUACCAAAUUUAUUGAACGGUUCUACAUAAAAUUUUUUCUGUAGAGUAACAAUUUGACAUUCGGUGGUCGCUGCUCUAGAAUCCGGACGGCGCUGUUGUUGCGGAAUCUGUAAAUUUCGUGCGAUAUGCUGUUGCACAGUUGGCGUGGAAUACCUUUGCUCGACUGCAGAAAAUAAAGGGAGAAGAAAAGAU